Molecule: long non-coding RNA, 2938 nt
Filed under: Sus scrofa (pig)
Lineage: Eukaryota; Metazoa; Chordata; Mammalia; Artiodactyla; Suidae
Description: lncRNA (ENSSSCG00035026815.1)
Source: RNAcentral
GCAGAGUAUGAGAAUGCUCUUGCUUCAGAUCAUUCAAACCAGCAUUUGAUUUUGUCAGCGUUCUGGACUUUGGCCAUUCUAAAACAUGUAUAGUGGUAUCUUACGGCUAUUUUAAUUUGCAUUUCCCUGAUGACACUCCACUUUUCCUGAGCCUAUUUGCCAUCUGUCUAUCUUCUCCAUUGAAGUGUCUGUUAAAGUUUUUGGACUACUUUUUAAUCUACUUCAUGCUUUCUUAUUGAAUUUUAAGAGUUCUUUAUAUUUUGGAUAAUUGUCCUUUAUCACAUGUGUAUUUACAAAUAUUUUCUCCCUGUAUAUGGCUCUUCUUGUUGUACUAACAUUGUCUUCUAAAGUGUUUAUUUGUUAGAUAUUACAUGUGAAUGUUUGUUGGUACCCAAAGAUGGAACUGAAACUAAGGGAGACAAAUCACUUUAAAAGUGAAAGGUGAAGAACCUAAUGAAGGAGGAGAUAUGCAGGAGUUCCCGUCAUGGCGCAGUGGAAACGAAUCCAACUAGGAACCAUGAGGAUGCAGGUUCGAUCCCUGGCCUUGCUCAGUGGGUUAAGGAUCUGGCGUUGCUGUGAGCUGUGGUGUAGGUCACAGACAUGGCUCAGAUCCGAUGUUGCUGUGGCUGUGGCAUAGGCCUGCGGUUUUAGUUCCGAUUGGACCCCUAACCUGGGAACCUCCAUGUGUCACAAGUGGGGGCCCAAAAAGCAAAAAAAAAAAAAAAAAAAAAAAAAAAAGGAGAUAUGCAGAUACAAGAAAGAAAAUAACUUAUGUAAUAUGUAGAAUGUUUAAAUCAGCACCUAGCACAUAGAAAGUAUUCAAUAUUAGUUGGUACAAUAAUGAGAAAAUGUAGACAGAAGAAAGAAGAAAAUGGGGCAAGAAAGAAUGCAAGAUUGAGAGAGGACAAAAGUCAGAAAAAAAGGAAAAAAGUAGUAUUAACUGACUAUUGCUAUUUCACUUUUUAUUCAACUAUAAUUCAUUUUUUGCUUGCCACUAAACGUUUUAUUUUACUGUGAUAUUCAGUGUCAUUAUAUAUUAUUUUUAUUGUGUCUGCCUAAAAUCUUUAAAAACGAAUAUGAAGACAAGUGUAUUCAUUCUGAAGGAGUUUAUUAUAUUCCAUUAAAAGACCAUUAUCAUAAGCUUUUAUAUAACUCCAAUUUUGUGCCUACUUAAUUAAGUUUUGAAAUCUGUGCAGAUGAGAUAAAGGGAAGAGAGUGUGCAUUUGACGGACACUUUCCAGAGAAGAUGAAUUUCUAAAUGAUAUGAAAAACUCAUUUCAUAUCAUCAAGUGGCAUGAUUGACCAUGGCUUUGUAUAACUUCAAGAGCACCAUUUACGUUUAUAAAUGGUAGUUUUUGGAGCUAUGCGCUGCUGUGAUCUAUCUGAAAUUCAACUUCUCUUACUUUUUUUGGCCUAGCCCUUGUAAUGUUUCUUGGCAUUAACAGUUUAUUGAGAUAUGGUUUACAGAGAGUAAAACAGAUCCUUUACAAGUACACAUUUUGAUGAGUUUUGAUGAAUGUAUAGAGUCACUACCACCACAUCAUGAAAUGAAAGUUUCCUCAUUUUAAAUGGUGCCUCUUUCAGCCAACAUAUCUCCUUCCAUUCCCAUCUCCAGCAAAUCAUUGAUCUCCUUUCUGACAGAAUCCAGGUAUAUAAUUUUUAAUUUAUAUUAAAAUCACAGAUCAUUUUGCUCUUAGGAAGAGGUGAAAUGAUAUUAAAUGAUUCAAAUUUGAGAUUAUCUAAAAAAACCACUAUUUUGAAAUACUAGGUUAGUUGACAUAAUAAAAUAUCAUGACAUAUGUAUGUCAUGGCAAAAAUAAUGAGUAAAGACAUGACUUUCAGUGGCAUUUUAUUUGUAUUUUUUUGUAUUUUAUUACUCUUCGCUGCUUUUAUUCUUUUUAGGUCUUUCCCCCUUUUUCUCUUUUGUAUAUACUUCAUCUCUUUAUUAUUUAAGGAGAUCCCAGUUUUUCCAAAGAAAAAAUUAGGAAAAAUAGAAACCAAGUCCACUUGAAGCUUAAGAGUUACAAUGAGAUCAGAUUUUGGUCAAUCCAUGGGCUCAUUGUUGAAGGCAAUUCCAUUAAACUUGUUACUUUUUCAACUAUAACUGAUGCAUGUGCAGUGCAAUGAUUUUAUGAUUGUAUUUAGUAAUAGAUAGUAAUCUCUAAAUUUUUUAAGCCUAUUGAUACCAUUCUUGUUACUUUAAGUUAUGGUUAAGUGUUUCCGGUCAUUCUUUUUUCAUUCAGUAACUGUUGUGUACACAGAAUUCUGCUCAUUCAAAGAAAGGGCAUGUUUUUGGAAUACUGUUUCUGCUUUAGGGCCACCAUUCUACAAUAUCUUUUUCCGUGGUAUUAUUAAUCUUUUUUAUUCAUUUUGUAUCAUAAUAUUUCAAGCUUAUCUAUUAUACACAACACUAGUGAUGCAUGGCCAAACAAGCCAUCUUGUUCCAGGUGCAUGAGGAUGUUUAGGUUGGAACAUAUUUUGUAGGUUUGCAUUUAAUGCUUUCAUUUACAAAAUGUAAAGGUCUACUCUUGGCACCUCACCUUUUUUAUCCUAUUGUCUCCUCACAAUCAGUCAGGAAGAAGAGCGUUACUACCUCUCUUUCACAAAUGAGGAAAAUGAGGCGUAGCAAUCAUAUGCAACUUACAAAAGGUUACAUGUAUGUUCAAGCCUGUUUUUGUAUCAUUGUGAUAAACACUUUUUCCACCAUGACUAAUCACAGUCAUAUAUAUCAGAAGAGUUAUAUGAUUAACUUUCAGCCACGAUAGCAGUUUUCAUCUCAUUAUGUGAACAGUAGAUAAUGUAGAAAACAAUACAUAAAAUCCAAAUUAUAAUGUGCAGGAAAAAAGUAAUUAGAUAAGGUACUAUUGAUAAGGUAUUAUUUUAUGUUUCUCCUUUUUUUCUAAGACAUUGAUCUUAUAAAUCUAUACCAAAAAAAAAA